UCCAGGGUAGCCUAGUGGACAUGGCAUCUGCCCGGUAAGCGGAAGGUCGUGGGUUCGAUUCCCUCCCCUGGAC
Molecule: transfer RNA, 73 nt
Filed under: Cordylochernes scorpioides
Lineage: Eukaryota; Metazoa; Arthropoda; Arachnida; Pseudoscorpiones; Chernetidae
Description: tRNA-Thr
Rfam family: tRNA
About the family: Transfer RNA (tRNA) molecules are approximately 80 nucleotides in length. Their secondary structure includes four short double-helical elements and three loops (D, anti-codon, and T loops).
Source: RNAcentral